UUUUUUUUUUUUGGCCUGGCCGACCUUCUUGCAUCAACCUGCUGUACCCCAGGGCCACAACGAACGCCCACUCGGAUCGCCAUCUCUACUUCGGAAUGAGACAGAUACCACUAAAGGCCCAUCUUUAAUUGUGACGCAGGCGGAAGAGAGCGGCAAGCAGCAUGGGAACGAUGAAAAAGGUUUCCUACACCCUACUUCAGCAAGAGUGGAUAAGUCUGCUGCCCUGAUGGAGGGGAGAGUGGAGCUGAAGGAGUGAGUAGAAGAGCUUGAGCACAAGUGCAUCCAAGGAGAGACAGGCUGUGCUGUCUGCUGCCCUGAUGGAGGGGAGAGUGGAGCUGAAGGAGUGAGUAGAAGAGCUUGAGCACAAGUGCAUCCAAGGAGAGACAGGCCGUGCUGUCUGCUGCCCUGAUGGAGGGGAGAGUGGAGCUGAAGGAGUGAGUAGAAGAGCUUGAGCACAAGUGCAUCCAAGGAGAGACAGGCCGUGCUGUCUGCUGCCCUGAUGGAGGGGAGAGUGGAGCUGAAGGAGUGAGUAGAAGAGCUUGAGCACAAGUGCAUCCAAGGAGAGACAGGCGGU
This is a long non-coding RNA of Xenopus tropicalis (tropical clawed frog), 574 nucleotides long. RefSeq lists it as uncharacterized. The transcript has 5 exons. The record is from RefSeq and is a predicted model, not a curated record. Lineage: Eukaryota; Metazoa; Chordata; Amphibia; Anura; Pipidae.